Capsicum annuum is the source of this 336-nucleotide long non-coding RNA. RefSeq lists it as uncharacterized. The record is from RefSeq and is a predicted model, not a curated record. Lineage: Eukaryota; Viridiplantae; Streptophyta; Magnoliopsida; Solanales; Solanaceae. The transcript has 2 exons.
GCGAGACCUGCAUUAAAAGGAUCUUCCAUUCAACACAAUGUCUUCGUCAUGUAUGAAGAAAAGCAUUAGCAAUUAACACAAGGGCCAAGCAAUUUGUAUUACUUCAGUUUGAAUUUUUCUGUUUUAUGCUUCGAACCACAAGGAUUCGAGGAUCGAGUUGAUUGCCCAGGAGUUAACUCGAGGAUACAAUCACAGAAGAAGAAGAAGAAGAAGAAACAAAGAGAGAGAAGGAAUUGGGUUUAUUUCAUAUCAUGCUGUAAUUGAGUGAUUACAUCAACUAUUAAUAGAAAAUAGAAGUUGAUCAGUUAUUCUAACUAACUGAACAGUUGUAGCUAA